RNAcentral lists this ribosomal RNA (2483 nucleotides) under Triticum aestivum (bread wheat). RNAcentral's name for it is "partial small subunit ribosomal RNA". Lineage: Eukaryota; Viridiplantae; Streptophyta; Magnoliopsida; Poales; Poaceae. The record is from RNAcentral.
CUCCGUUGCUUCGGAUUUUUGCUCGAUUGGUAUCAAUCAAGCGGAAUGGAAAGGGCGUGCUAUGUCUGGUUUGGUCCCAAGGCGCAUGCGGUUGCCGCUUCGGUUUGGUGAUAGUAGGAGAAGGAGCUGGAGCUCGAAGGGGGGCAGGGGAGGUAAGGGGAGCGUGUCCUAAGGGGUCUAGCUGCGGGCCAAGCAGGGCUUGGCGUGGCCUUAGGGGGCGGCCUAACCGGGGCGGGUACCACAUUAGCUCCCGGGGCUCGCGCGACCGCUACCUCCGCGUCACCGAGCGGCUCAUGGGCGUGGUCCGGCGGCUGUUGGCCGGCGCGUUCGCGGGGGCCGAGCGGACCCUACGGCGCAGCGUCGAGAAGGGCGGAGGGUUCCGUUAGGGCUACGAUAUAACACCCGUCCUUGAUUAGUUGCCAUUAAAGUGAUGACGAAAGGACGGCGGCGGUGGUUAAAUAAUACGACCUGGCGGCGCCUUAGAAAGCGGGGGAACCUCCGGCCUACUGUUCCUACCGGUGAUACAAAAGUGUGAGCCGCUCUUGGAAUGCGGUUCUAUAUCCUAUGAGUCGUUCUACCCGCUUCCCUGGAAACCUGUUCAAAACCUUACGACCCUGAACCUUUUGGUUCUUAGUCAUCGAUAGUUCUAACACGCAAGGGACGUCUUUAUGGCCCUCCGACGAUACUAACUUUAACUGCACGAAGUCUCUGAACCCUUCGUACUAAAAUGACCAUCAGCAACACACGUUUAUGCCUUAACCAAACUGAUAGCAUUAGUAUAUACAUAUCAUAAACUCUUCGAACCUGGUUCGAAUAUGCUGAAGGAUGCCUUCUUAUCGAUGGCAAGUAAAGGAUAACUAGAACAAGCCCUCAAACGGUCUGUUUAUAAUCUCAGACAAUGUAAAUACGUACUGGACGCCGAAUAAGUGUGUCUAGAAUUCGGUCUCUUGUAAGAGGAACAAAGUGGACUAUGUUAGUCCCAAGUACUAAUAUUCUAAGGAUAUGCGGGUGGGUUCCUACCCAGACAAAAGUUCUUGGAAGGUUUUAGCUCACGAUAGUUCGAAUAGCUAAAACCUUCAUGUUGUAAGCUAGUAGUUCUAGUGUUAAUACAGCACAGUUGUUCUGUAAUGGCACGGGGUCUUCAAUAGGAACCAGAACCCACCUUAAUAGGUACGCUAGAAACCUCACACCCUACGUAAAACCAACUCGAGACGAGCCCCCUCCGAAAUAAAGUUUGUGUACUUUUAAACCUCGUAGAACGAUACUACCUCUUCCAAGAUCCGGGGGAAGGGUUUGUGUACUAGCGGUCUCGACUAUCUGCUCGACUCUUUAUGAAGUCCGCACCUGAUUCCGAACUGACCGGUCUCCCCCGUCGGAGUGCUCUUUCGUACUUCCGUCAUACCUUUAACGGAGCAGACGUCUUAGACCAGUACGUUGUACAGUUAGUAAGACGACCCCUAGAUUAUCUAGAAGAAGUCCCCGAAGAAGCCAUACUAGGACUACUCGCAGAAUUCCGUGCUGUUCGAGAAGUUGUGGGAAAGAAAUGGUCUACGGUGUCUUCUACACCAAUGACUCUCAUAUGACUCUUACUUUACGAGUUAAGACAUAAAGAAGUAAAGCUACACAUUCUCGAUGGUUUUUUUACCUUUACAAGACGUCUUUUACUUUACACGAUUGAGUGUAAGACAAGUUACUACACUUUCCAUUGACAACAUAUAUUUUACUCAAACAACUGUCAACUAAAUAAAUUUGGUCCGCCAUGAAAAAGUCAACUAUGUACGGAAGCUUUAGGUAUGAUUAAAAAGGGUCUGAUGAGUCAUGAUUGUCCAUCGUACGUCUUUAGAGUUUAGAGAUUGAACUCCUAUCAGUGACUCCUAAUCCCCCUACGUCACCGACCGAACGUACUUUCUGACAAUGUUUAAACUACCGCUGUUUGCUCCCUCAUGAAUUCUGACUAAAGCAUGUAUACUUGUACGGACUAAUCGACAGCCCAGUACCGUACAUGUACUCUGAAGAACGAACGUGUGUCUGUGAAGUCAGAGGAGUGUGCGGUCGUCUGAGGAUAACUUCUGAUAAAUCGGUCUUCUAUUGUUCGACACUACCGUUACCACUCUCACUCUACUUCGAUUACCUAGACGGUAGGUACCCUACCUAUGACGAGCUAGAACCGAUCUCUCCACCUAGAUUCCUACCCGAUUAACCUAUACCCAACCCAAACCGAGCCAAACUUGUUAUAGUUUAGGUUUGGGUUUAAAUUGCCGUAAGAAACGGUUGGCUACUUUCUUUGGUGCCCAUUUUAUAACACAUUCGCAGGUUUGGCUUACCCAGAUACUACAGAAGGGUUGUGUAUAUGCAUGCUAUGUUCGCUUUACGCAUGGUUAAAACUCUAAUUGUGAAACCUGUAAUAGUUUAUUCGUAUUAUGGCCAGAUUCAAAGAGUAUUUUACUGUUGUGCCGAAGGCGGCACUGUACCCGCUACUGGGG